AUUGAACGCUGGCGGCAGGCUUAACACAUGCAAGUCGAACGAGUGGCGGACGGGUGAGUAAUGCCUGGGAAACUGCCCGAUGGAGGGGGAUCACUACUGGAAAAGGUAGCUAAAUCCGCAUACCCUCAGAUGUGCCCAGAUGGGAUUAGCAAGUUGGGGGGGUAAUGGCUCACCAAGGCGACGAUCCCUAGCUGGUCUGAGAGGAUGACCAGCCACACUGGAACUGAGACACGGUCCAGACUCCUACGGGAGGCAGCAGUGGGGAAUAUUGCACAAUGGGCGCAAUCCUGAUGCAGCCAUGCCGCGUGUAUGAAGAAGGCUUUCGGGUUGUAAAGUACUUUCAGCGGGGAGGCGUUACCCGCAGAAGAAGCACCGGCUAACUCCGUGCCAGCCGCCGCGGUAAUUC
Molecule: ribosomal RNA, 406 nt
Filed under: uncultured bacterium
Lineage: Bacteria
Description: partial 16S ribosomal RNA
Rfam family: Bacterial small subunit ribosomal RNA
Source: RNAcentral